AUGGGGUGCAGCAGGCGCGAAAACUUUACAAUGCGGGAAACCGCGAUAAGGGGAUACCGAGUGCCAGCAUAUUAUGUUGGCUGUCCACAUGUGUAAACGGCAUGUGUUAGCAAGGGCCGGGCAAGACCGGUGCCAGCCGCCGCGGUAACACCGGCGGCCCGAGUGGUAAUCACUUUUAUUGGGUCCAAAGGGUCCGUAGCCGGUUUGAUCAGUUCUUCGGGAAAUCUGACAGCUCAACUGUUAGGCUUCCGGGGAAUACUGUCAGACUUGGGACCGGGAGAGGUAAGAGGUACUACAGGGGUAGGAGUGAAAUCUUGUAAUCCCUGUGGGACCACCAGUGGCGAAGGCGUCUUACCAGUACGGGUCCGACGGUGAGGGACGAAAGCUGGGGGCACGAACCGGAUUAGAUACCCGGGUAGUCCCAGCCGUAAACGAUGUUCGCUAGGUGUCAGGGACGGUGCGACCGUUUCUGGUGCCAUAGGGAAGCCGUGAAGCGAACCACCUGGGAAGUACGGCCGCAAGGCUGAAACUUAAAGGAAUUGGCGGGGGAGCAC
RNAcentral lists this ribosomal RNA (554 nucleotides) under uncultured euryarchaeote. RNAcentral's name for it is "bacterial SSU rRNA". It matches the Rfam family "Archaeal small subunit ribosomal RNA", at positions 325 to 879 of the family's 1478-position model. Lineage: Archaea; Methanobacteriati; Methanobacteriota. The record is from RNAcentral.